Molecule: long non-coding RNA, 200 nt
Filed under: Malus domestica (apple)
Lineage: Eukaryota; Viridiplantae; Streptophyta; Magnoliopsida; Rosales; Rosaceae
Description: long non-coding RNA (MDOM_LNC000405)
Source: RNAcentral
ACAUAUGCUUUUGUAUUGAUUUAUGCCUAUCAUGCCAUGUUUUAUUUAAUUUUAUAAAUGUUAUUACGUGGUUGAGAUUUAUAUACUAUCAUGGCAUGUUCAUAUACAUUUUACCUGCUUAUCAUACAUUGUGUUGGAAGUAUGCCCACAAAGCCACUCAUUUGAUGUAAUAGCUUUUGGAAUACUUAUUGUAUUAAACU